Molecule: ribosomal RNA, 678 nt
Filed under: uncultured bacterium
Lineage: Bacteria
Description: bacterial SSU rRNA
Rfam family: Bacterial small subunit ribosomal RNA
Source: RNAcentral
GUCGAACGAAGCACUUUUACAGAUUUCUUCGGAAUGAAGUUUUGGUGACUGAGUGGCGGACGGGUGAGUAACGCGUGGGUAACCUGCCUCACACAGGGGGAUAACAGUUGGAAACGGCUGCUAAUACCGCAUAAGCGCACAGUACCGCAUGGUACAGUGUGAAAAACUCCGGUGGUGUGAGAUGGACCCGCGUCUGAUUAGCUAGUUGGCAGGGCAGCGGCCUACCAAGGCGACGAUCAGUAGCCGACCUGAGAGGGUGACCGGCCACAUUGGGACUGAGACACGGCCCAAACUCCUACGGGAGGCAGCAGUGGGGAAUAUUGCACAAUGGGGGAAACCCUGAUGCAGCGACGCCGCGUGAGCGAAGAAGUAUUUCGGUAUGUAAAGCUCUAUCAGCAGGGAAGAAGAAAUGACGGUACCUGACUAAGAAGCACCGGCUAAAUACGUGCCAGCAGCCGCGGUAAUACGUAUGGUGCAAGCGUUAUCCGGAUUUACUGGGUGUAAAGGGAGCGCAGGCGGAAGGCUAAGUCUGAUGUGAAAGCCCGGGGCUCAACCCCGGUACUGCAUUGGAAACUGGUCAUCUAGAGUGUCGGAGGGGUAAGUGGAAUUCCUAGUGUAGCGGUGAAAUGCGUAGAUAUUAGGAGGAACACCAGUGGCGAAGGCGGCUUACUGGACGAU